CCUACGGGAGGCAGCAGUGAGGAAUAUUGGUCAAUGGGCGCAAGCCUGAACCAGCCAAGUCGCGUGAGGGAUGACUGCCCUCAGGGUUGUAAACUUCUUUUAUAUGGGAAUAAAGUGCAGUAUGUAUACCGCUUUGCAUGUACCUUAUGAAUAAGGCUCGGCUAACUUCGUGCCAGCAGCCGCGGUAAUAAGGAGGAUUCGAGCGUUAUCCCGCUUUAUUGGGUUUAAAGGGAGCGUAGGCGGGUUGUUAAGUCAGUUGUGAAAGAUUGCGGCUCAACCGUAAAAUUGCAGUUGAUACUGGUAGCCUUGAGUGCAGUAGAGGUAGGCGGAAUGCGUGGUGUAGCGGUGAAAUGCUUAGAUAUCACGAAGAACUCCGAUUGCGAAGGCAGCCUGCUGGACUGUAACUGACGCUGAGGCACGAAAGUGUGGGUAUCAAACAGGAUUAGAUACCCGAGUAGUC
RNAcentral lists this ribosomal RNA (460 nucleotides) under uncultured bacterium. RNAcentral describes it as "partial 16S ribosomal RNA". It matches the Rfam family "Bacterial small subunit ribosomal RNA", at positions 338 to 795 of the family's 1533-position model. The record is from RNAcentral.